UACGGAGGGUGCAAGCGUUGUCCGGAUUUAUUGGGUUUAAAGGGUGCGUAGGCGGCUAAUUAAGUCAGUGGUGAAAGCCUGUAGCUCAACUAUAGAACUGCCAUUGAUACUGAUUAGCUUGAGUAUGGUUGAGGUAAGCGGAAUGGAUGGUGUAGCGGUGAAAUGCAUAGAUAUCAUCCGGAACACCGAUAGCGAAGGCAGCUUACUGGGCCGAAACUGACGCUGAGGCACGAAAGCAUGGGGAUCGAACAGG
RNAcentral lists this ribosomal RNA (253 nucleotides) under uncultured bacterium. RNAcentral describes it as "partial 16S ribosomal RNA". It matches the Rfam family "Bacterial small subunit ribosomal RNA", at positions 524 to 776 of the family's 1533-position model. The record is from RNAcentral.